This 224-nucleotide long non-coding RNA is filed under the name Elaeis guineensis (African oil palm). Its description in RNAcentral is "long non-coding RNA (EGUI_LNC081627)". Lineage: Eukaryota; Viridiplantae; Streptophyta; Magnoliopsida; Arecales; Arecaceae. The record is from RNAcentral.
CUGAAUAAAUAUAAAAGACUAUCUUUGUCAUUUAUCUUCUUGCAUAGAUCUCAAAGCACAUCAUCUUCUAUCACUCAUUUAUUUACAUGAAUAUCAAAAUGCUCCAUCCUUUGUCAUCCAUUCAUGUGCAUAGAUCUCAAUGCACUUAUCUUUUGUCAUUCAUCCAUUUGCACAUAUCUCAAAGUAUAACCCUCCUCCCUAAAAUAAAAGCUCUUUGCUCGGUU